UGGAUCCUAACCUUGGAUCAAAGUAUGUUCUUGGAUGAAACCUUCCAGAAGCAUCCACUACUAGUUGUGCUGGCCAGGAUUUCUGGGAGUUGUAGUUCAAGAACAUCUGGGGACCCAAGGUACCACCGUAAGACACAACCAUUGAAGAAACAGGAAUCUCUUUGAAUGUAACAUUUACACCUUCAGAGAACAAGCAGGAGAGUUCUUUAUUUCUCUCUGUUAUAUACCCGGUGCAAUAAGCUUCAGAUCAAGUCAAUGGGUUGUACUGAAAAUGGUGACAUUUUAAACCUUGAAGCAGGUAAAGAUGGCCUCUUUCAUUAUAGGGCAUAUUUUUUCUGCUUAAAAGUUUACUGUACUAGGCAUACUCUGAAAUAGUUGCCAUGCCACACUUACUCACUGAAGGUGGAAUGCAGCCUGCACCAGAGGUUUUCUUGCGGGGGGGGGUAGGGGUGGAUGUUGCUAUGCCAGGAGACAUAUUUGUGUUUAUUGCCUAGAGCAAAUGUAUGAACCCAGCUCUAAUUAACAAAUAUUUCUUUGCCACAAAGGGUCCAGUAUUCCAACCACACAAGGAUGAUAGUCAUAUUCGUUGCCCUCCUUCACAGCUGGAGAUGAUGUUAUUUUAGUUGGAUCGAAAGGGCACAGAUGCUGCCACCUGCUCUGCUUCUCUUGAAGCUUAAAUUUUCCUAAAAGACUUGGAUGACUAAGAGGCUUUGGCCACUUUGCAGUUUUUUCAGGUUCAUCCGUUUCCCUUUACCACUAGACUGGUGAAUGCUGAUUAAGUGUUCUAGAGUUUCAAUCUACACAGUAACAAGAAGAUUCCCUGAAACUUGCACUAAGGAAGAGGAAACAGAAAUAGUACAAACUAUUCGUCCAACGUGUCUCAUUGCUUCUGCUACAGAGGAAAAGCAGCCAAGGGGAUUCAGCUGUUUUUGCUUUAAGUCAGAGACAUGGAUGCCAUCCCUGCUCUUGUCUUCUAUCAGCAGCCCAGCAAGCUGUGGGGAUCCCCUCUGAAGCCCCUAUCUCCUCAGGUCUUCACAAGGUUCUCACCCUUCUUCUUUCUUCACUGGCACCAGGUAUUGCUGACUCAAUGCCAUUCAC
RNAcentral lists this long non-coding RNA (1098 nucleotides) under Pogona vitticeps (central bearded dragon). RNAcentral's name for it is "lncRNA (ENSPVIG00000022552.1)". Lineage: Eukaryota; Metazoa; Chordata; Lepidosauria; Squamata; Agamidae. The record is from RNAcentral.